Molecule: non-coding RNA, 73 nt
Organism: Phrynosoma platyrhinos (Desert horned lizard)
Lineage: Eukaryota; Metazoa; Chordata; Lepidosauria; Squamata; Phrynosomatidae
Source: the annotation of a GenBank genome assembly
GCCAGUGUGGUAUAGUGGUUUGAAUGUUGGACUAGGACUUUGAAAGAUCAGGGUUCAAAUCCUCACUCAGCCA